RNAcentral lists this ribosomal RNA (837 nucleotides) under uncultured Flavobacteriaceae bacterium. RNAcentral describes it as "bacterial SSU rRNA". It matches the Rfam family "Bacterial small subunit ribosomal RNA", at positions 70 to 902 of the family's 1533-position model. Lineage: Bacteria; Pseudomonadati; Bacteroidota; Flavobacteriia; Flavobacteriales; Flavobacteriaceae. The record is from RNAcentral.
CAUGUCCCGCAGCAAUGCGGGAUGAUGGCGACCGGCAAACGGGUGCGGAACACGUACAGAACCUUCCUUCGAGCGGGGGAUAGCCCAGAGAAAUUUGGAUUAAUACCCCAUAGUAUAUUGAAGAGGCAUCUCUUUAAUAUUAAAGAUUUAUCACUUGAAGAUGGCUGUGCGGCUGAUUAGGUAGUUGGCGGGGUAAUGGCCCACCAAGCCUGCGAUCAGUAACUGGUGUGAGAGCACGACCAGUCACACGGGCACUGAGACACGGACCCGACUCCUACGGGAGGCAGCAGUAAGGAAUAUUGGGCAAUGGAGGCAACUCUGACCCAGCCAUGCCGCGUGGAGGAUGAAGGCCCUCUGGGUUGUAAACUUCUUUUAUAUGGGACGAAAAAGGGCUUUUCUAAGUCAACUGACGGUACCAUAUGAAUAAGCACCGGCUAACUCCGUGCCAGCAGCCGCGGUAAUACGGAGGGUGCAAGCGUUAUCCGGAUUCACUGGGUUUAAAGGGUGCGUAGGUGGGUUGGUAAGUCAGUGGUGAAAUCUCCGGGCUUAACCCGGAAACUGCCAUUGAUACUAUCAGUCUUGAAUAUUGUGGAGGUCAGCGGAAUAUGUCAUGUAGCGGUGAAAUGCUUAGAUAUGACAUAGAACACCAAUUGCGAAGGCAGCUGGCUACACAUAUAUUGACACUGAGGCACGAAAGCGUGGGGAUCAAACAGGAUUAGAUACCCUGGUAGUCCACGCCCUAAACUAUGGAUACUCGACAUACGCGAUACACAGUGUGUGUCUGAGCGAAAGCAUUAAGUAUCCCACCUGGGAAGUACGAUCGCAAGAUUGAAACUC